Molecule: non-coding RNA, 102 nt
Organism: Chelonoidis abingdonii (Abingdon island giant tortoise)
Lineage: Eukaryota; Metazoa; Chordata; Testudines; Testudinidae
Source: RefSeq, a predicted model, not a curated record
CAAGGAGUGGAGUGGGGGGUAAUAGGAGCCUAUAUAAGAAAAAGACCCAAAAAUCGGGACUGACCCUAUUAAAUCGGGACCUCUGGUUACCCUAGAUCAGAU